UUGAGGCGGGUGCUGGUGGCUGUCUCCUGUUGAGGGCAGUCACUGGACUGGGCUGGUUGGAUGCAAGAUACGUUGCUACCAGGAAUGUGUGUGACUGGAUUUCUCUCUUCUCUCUGCUUCUUUGGAGGUUCCCACAUUCCAGCCACCAGUCACUUUUCCUAGAAAAGGUCCUGUAAUUGGGGGGUUCUCCUUCCACCUUUGAUCUCUUCCCAGAGCCUCCCACUGGUGGUACCCAACAGAGUCCAGAAGCCAAAGAAGCCAGGGGAUGCCAGGUGGGGGACACAUAAGGUAGUAGAUGGAUCGGGUGAGUAGGGAGCUAAGUGAAGAGUUGCCAGGCUCUUUCCUGGGUGGGUGGAUGGGUGGGUGAACAGGUGAGUGGAUAGGUAGGUGGGUGGGUGGAUGGGUAGACUGGGGGUGGCGACAAAGUCAGUGAAUCACUUGUCUCAAUUUCCUCCUCUGUGAACUGUGAUGAUUGAAAAUCCUCUCCAUAUACAAAACAAUACCAGUGAAAAUCAGGAGUGAGGUAGAAAUAUUAAACUCCCUGCAGUGCUAUGUGUAUGUCAAUCUUAUUUUAUAUUUUGGUUUAUUUGGGGGACAAGAUCGAGAAGAAAAAAAUAUGAUCUUAGUGGUGAUAAACAAAGCCAACUUUAAGGGAAUGAUUCUGUUCAAGCUUGUUUGAUGUGCACUUAGACAUUUAAAAACCUGACAAACUAGACAAUGAUGAUGUUCCAGUGCUGCUCAUGGAAAAGACUAGACGACUGUGUUCACACCAUUAUCAUAAAAGUCCUUAAGACACAGAAGACAGACUUCUCUGAUUGCUGAACUUCACUGAGAUGCACGCCUUUUUCAACUGAAAGAGGGAAUGCACUUCAUUCAUAACUAAACUCAAAACUAAACUAAACUGAUCAGGAACUGAACUCAAGAGGCACGUUUGAUGGGUGAGCACAAAACAUUCCAGCACUCUCAUGGCUCCAAGCAGGUGGCCCUUUCUGGACCCUCACCGACCGUCAGGUGAGAAGCCCUGCAGAGCUGUACCUGUAUGCGUCCUUCGAUGAGCCUUCAGGAUGGAACAGGAACACUGAAACAACUGUGGAUUCCUGGAUUACACUGGACAGGGAACAGAAGACACAAAACUUGUUGAAAUAUUCAGAACAUGUCCACAGAAUUUCUUCAGAAAACACUGGGGUUUACAUUAUGUUCAUGCCAGGAGUUGUAGCUUGAUGGAUCAUUGAAACCUCAAAAAA
This is a non-coding RNA of Vicugna pacos (alpaca), 1244 nucleotides long. NCBI's taxonomy places the organism in Eukaryota, Metazoa, Chordata, Mammalia, Artiodactyla, Camelidae. The record is from RefSeq and is a predicted model, not a curated record.